Molecule: ribosomal RNA, 546 nt
Filed under: uncultured bacterium
Lineage: Bacteria
Description: partial 16S ribosomal RNA
Rfam family: Bacterial small subunit ribosomal RNA
Source: RNAcentral
UGGGGAAUUUUGGACAAUGGGCGAAAGCCUGAUCCAGCAAUGCCGCGUGUGCGAAGAAGGCCUUCGGGUUGUAAAGCACUUUUGUCCGGAAAGAAAUCCUUGGCUCUAAUACAGUCGGGGGAUGACGGUACCGGAAGAAUAAGCACCGGCUAACUACGUGCCAGCAGCCGCGGUAAUACGUAGGGUGCAAGCGUUAAUCGGAAUUACUGGGCGUAAAGCGUGCGCAGGCGGUUUGCUAAGACCGAUGUGAAAUCCCCGGGCUCAACCUGGGAACUGCAUUGGUGACUGGCAGGCUAGAGUAUGGCAGAGGGGGGUAGAAUUCCACGUGUAGCAGUGAAAUGCGUAGAGAUGUGGAGGAAUACCGAUGGCGAAGGCAGCCCCCUGGGCCAAUACUGACGCUCAUGCACGAAAGCGUGGGGAGCAAACAGGAUUAGAUACCCUGGUAGUCCACGCCCUAAACGAUGUCAACUAGUUGUUGGGGAUUCAUUCCUUAGUAACGUAGCUAACGCGUGAAGUUGACCGCCUGGGGAGUACGGUCGCAAGAUU